CCCUGGUGAGCUCAGUUGGCAGAGCGCUCCAGUGGAAAUCGUAAGGUCCCGGGUUCGACACCCGGACCAGGCG
Molecule: transfer RNA, 73 nt
Filed under: Ixodes scapularis (black-legged tick)
Lineage: Eukaryota; Metazoa; Arthropoda; Arachnida; Ixodida; Ixodidae
Rfam family: tRNA
About the family: Transfer RNA (tRNA) molecules are approximately 80 nucleotides in length.
Source: Rfam by way of RNAcentral